RNAcentral lists this ribosomal RNA (511 nucleotides) under Candidatus Phytoplasma solani. Its description in RNAcentral is "bacterial SSU rRNA". It matches the Rfam family "Bacterial small subunit ribosomal RNA", at positions 733 to 1255 of the family's 1533-position model. Lineage: Bacteria; Bacillati; Mycoplasmatota; Mollicutes; Acholeplasmatales; Acholeplasmataceae. The record is from RNAcentral.
GUCUUUACUGACGCUGAGGCACGAAAGCGUGGGGAGCAAACAGGAUUAGAUACCCUGGUAGUCCACGCCCUAAACGAUGAGUACUAAACGUUGGAUAAAACCAGUGUUGAAGUUAACACAUUAAGUACUCCGCCUGAGUAGUACGUACGCAAGUAUGAAACUUAAAGGAAUUGACGGGACUCCGCACAAGCGGUGGAUCAUGUUGUUUAAUUCGAAGGUACCCGAAAAACCUCACCAGGUCUUGACAUGCUUUUGCAAAGCUGUAGAAAUACAGUGGAGGUUAUCAGAAGCACAGGUGGUGCAUGGUUGUCGUCAGCUCGUGUCGUGAGAUGUUGGGUUAAGUCCCGCAACGAGCGCAACCCUUGUUGUUAAUUGCCAUCAUUAAGUUGGGGACUUUAGCAAGACUGCCAAUGAUAAAUUGGAGGAAGGUGGGGACGACGUCAAAUCAUCAUGCCCCUUAUGACCUGGGCUACAAACGUGAUACAAUGGCUGUUACAAAGGGUAGCUGAGG